RNAcentral lists this transfer RNA (72 nucleotides) under Actinophytocola sp. RNAcentral describes it as "tRNA-Val". It matches the Rfam family "tRNA". From Rfam's summary of the family: Transfer RNA (tRNA) molecules are approximately 80 nucleotides in length. Their secondary structure includes four short double-helical elements and three loops (D, anti-codon, and T loops). Lineage: Bacteria; Bacillati; Actinomycetota; Actinomycetes; Pseudonocardiales; Pseudonocardiaceae. The record is from RNAcentral.
GGGCGAUUAGCUCAGCGGGAGAGCGUUCCGCUCACACCGGAAAGGUCGCUGGUUCGAUCCCAGUAUCGCCCA